ACGCACGCUGGCGGCGCGCCUCACCCCUGCCAGUCGAACGGAGCUGAGAGAAGCUUGCUUUUCUUAGCUUAGUGGCGAACGGGUGAGUAACGCGUGAGUAACCUGCCCUGGAGUGGGGGACAACAGUUGGAAACGACUGCUAAUACCGCAUAAGCCCACGAUCCGGCAUCGGAUUGAGGGAAAAGGAUUUAUUCGCUUCAGGAUGGACUCGCGUCCAAUUAGCUAGUUGGUGAGGUAACGGCCCACCAAGGCGACGAUUGGUAGCCGGACUGAGAGGUUGAACGGCCACAUUGGGACUGAGACACGGCCCAGACUCCUACGGGAGGCAGCAGUGGGGGAUAUUGCACAAUGGGGGAAACCCUGAUGCAGCGACGCCGCGUGGAGGAAGAAGGUUUUCGGAUUGUAAACUCCUGUCGUUAGGGACGAUAAUGACGGUACCUAACAAGAAAGCACCGGCUAACUACGU
RNAcentral lists this ribosomal RNA (466 nucleotides) under uncultured bacterium. Its description in RNAcentral is "partial 16S ribosomal RNA". It matches the Rfam family "Bacterial small subunit ribosomal RNA", at positions 29 to 506 of the family's 1533-position model. The record is from RNAcentral.